Molecule: long non-coding RNA, 3400 nt
Organism: Cylas formicarius (sweet potato weevil)
Lineage: Eukaryota; Metazoa; Arthropoda; Insecta; Coleoptera; Brentidae
Exons: 4
Source: RefSeq, a predicted model, not a curated record
GGUCUGGCGAGGAGUUUCUUCUUCUUUUUAUGUCGAUUCAGUCGACCAUCCCAUUGUUCCUGUUCCUUGCGUUGUUCUUCUUCCCGUUCCCGGAGGAAAUCUAAAUACGAAGUGCACUCCUCGCCGUCCCACUCCGUCGACCACCCACCCGGGUACUCCUGCUGCUCCUUUGUUUCUUUUGAUCCACCGGGUUGCUCCUGCUGCUGGUGAUGUUCCCUUGUCGUUUCAUGUCGUACCGGGAAUUCUAACCCCCGGUACUCUUUGUGUGAUUUGAAUAUGUGACGCCCUAAGCGAUGCGCCAACAUAAUAUGCGACUUGUCAUACGGACAAACCGCGAUUUUUUCUAGAACAAAACAAAGUAUGAUAUGUAGCGUUUCCUAUAAAACACACAUUUUUUUUUUUUAAACAAAACUUCCAAAAAGGGGGGUUAUCAAAUAAUUUUAAAAAUUGUUUUUUAAGUUAUACGCGCAUACCAAAAUUCACGUUUCAAUUCACUGUCAUUUAAAUGUAAGUGUAUUAUUGUCAAAAGGGCAAACUGCAAUUUUUUAGUACAAAAAAUAAACAAAAAUAUGUAUAUAUUUCGCGUUUUCCCCAUAAAACGCACAUUUUUGAAACAAAACUUUCAGUAAUUUUAAAAAUUGUUUAUUUUUUAAAAGCCAAAAUUCCCUAUUCACUGUCAUUUAAAAGAUAUUAAAAACGCUCAAUUUAAUUCGAUUAUUAUUGUCAAAAAGGCAAACUGCAAUUUUUUAGUACAAAAAAUAAAACAUUUUUGAAACAAAUUUAAAAAUUGUUUAUUUUUUAAAAGCCAAAAUUCCCUUUUCCAUUCACUGUCAUUUAAAAGCUAUUAAAAACACUCAAUUUAAAUCGGUUAUUAUGCAACGUAAAAAAGAUGAGUAUCAUAUUUUAAAACAGGUAGAAACUAACCAAAAAAGUGAUAACCCAAACUGAAACCCACAAGAAAAGACGCGCACUGUAUAAAGGUAAUUAAAAUAUAAAACUUACCAGUUGUAGGGUCGUAGGGAAAUGGACAUCGCACUUCUCUAUUCAUUGCACUGAAUAUAGUCUAUAAUACACAUGCAACGUAUUUAUACACAUGCACUCCCUUCCAUGGUUGAAUUAAAAGUCGAAAGGUCUUCUACCCACAAGCACCAACGCCGAUUUGAAUAGACGCGAUGUUGUCGCCAGACAACCGUGCAGGUAGAAGUCUCAAGGUCAACACGCUUUCACACGGGAACGCAACCGUUUCGGACGUUGGACGAACGUAUGUUGCCGCAAAAGAUCAAGGCCAACUUGCUUUCAUUUUUUACAAUCUCCGUAUGGGAUGUGGAAUUUCAAAACGCGCCGAGUCUAAAUGUCAAGUUGUUUUGCUUGUUGAGAAUAAUAAUUAAUUGCCCCCUUUAUAUUUGCUCCGUGGGAUUAACGUAAUGGGAAAAAUUUGUUGCAACGCAUGUGGAGGUGUCUUCGUUUGUUAACUUUUAGAAAGUAUUCUCGCACCGUAUAAAUACAUCUCAUUUUUCUCUGUUUUGUCAGUAGUUGUUUUUGGUAUUAUUCGUGCAACGUGGAAGCUAACUUAGUGGUUUGGUGUUCGUACAAAAAAGCAUUCCUAAAGAUCAUCUUAGUACUCUCAACCCGUAACCGCAAAUAGAAUAGCAGCAAUCUUAAGCAUGGACUUAAGUCAACUGAAUCAAACCUGUCUUGCAGAAGGUGAUUUUGAGCAGCCGAUUGUCAAACUGCAUGAAUUGCCGAUAGGCGUUCCGUUUAAAAUUACUAGAGCCAAAAUUGUUAAUACAAAAUUUGGCAAUUCCGUGUUGCUGCAAUUAGAAAAUUCCGUAGUAUUUCUUCCUACUCGCGUGACAGAAGCUUUCCGUCCGAGACUAGAACACUUUGCGUCGGGGCAGUACAAACUGGUCUACGAGGGAUCCAAAGAUAUUGGAAAGCCCAACUCUUUAAAGAAAUUCAAAAUAAUUCAAAAUUAAUCAACAUAUUAUACAGGAUUAUGGUCAAGCAACUUACAUUAGAAAGCCUUUGUAUUAUAACAAUUUGCGAAAAUAUUAGGUGUAGUGCUGAUUUUUUGCUUGAGUCACCUUUGCCUUGGAAACUAACGAUACUAAUAUUUAAAUAUUAUUCGAAAUAUAGAUGGAGGUACCUUAAACAACUAGCGCUCCAGUCUGAUGGCAAUUCUUUAUUAAAUUUAGAAUUCAUUCUGUUGAAUAAGAGAUUUGGAUCGUCUUACAGAAAUAGCAUUUUGGCAACUCCAACCAUUGAUUUUGACGGAGAAUCCGCUUACUGUUUAUGGGUCAGUUAUUACAGGAUAAAAUAUUCGGAAAUUUUAGUUUGUAAAUCUUGUCACUUUAUAUUUCAAGUAGUUAAAAAAUUUAAAAAGAAAAAUUUUAGACUUUUAUUGGAUCACUAUCAUUUACAGCUGGAUAUAAAUAAUUUGAAUGAUGUAUAUCACGAUAAACAAUUUUGGUGUCAAAGCUGCUUUGAAGAAGUUUUGUUCACUGUAGAAACUGAAGAUGAAUGUAAUUUAAUGCUUCACGAUGAGAGAAAAUAUGGAAAAAAGUUACGCUUUUCUGAUAGCACAUUGAACUAUUAAUACUGUGGUUUUAUUAUAACAUAUGUAACUGUAGAUAAGGCUUUUAUGUAUUGAUUGUAUGCCAUUGUAUUGCAACAAGAAUAAACAUGUAUAUAUUUAGACGCUAUUUUCUUUUUUACCACCACCACAACACCGCAUAAUAAUUACACAGAAGUUUGUAAUUGUAUAAUUUAUUUAUUAUAUACAUUAUUACUAUUUUACAAUUUCGUUAAAUGCUAAAUUAUUAAAUUGUUCUAGUUUUCUUUUGCACUCUUGAGCUUGCAUCCGCGCCACUUGCAAGUCUGUAUUAAAAAGCGCAAUUUGUGUUUCAAUUUCGUUGAUAUUGCACUCUAAUCCCGACAACUGAGACGCCAAGUUUCUUUUUAAAUUGAAUGCCUCACAAAUGACACUUUUUUCUCUACCGUCCGUGAACACUUCGAGCCAAUCAGCGGAUGACGUUGGAGCUGCAAACGCUUCACUUGUGGUAGUUUUCUUCUUCUUCUUGCGGGAUACGACCGACGCACUUUGUUUUCGUUUUGUCGCAGAUUUUUUGGUUUGUUGCUCUACAGGAACGAAGCUGGACGGGAGCACUUCUGAUGAAGGAAAUUGCAACUCGAAAUUUUCCAAUAAAUUAUACAAUUCGUUGGAUGUCACAAUUUGCUCUUGAGCCAUCAUAUACACGUAUUUAUGUCAGAACUUCUAAAUCGAGACUAAAUUUAUUUCAAAACGUCUACGUUGUCUACCCACGAAUCGUGCGACUUAUCCAAUCCCAACCAGCGCACGAGAACCAUAUUGCCUCGUCUGCGCAACACCUUUUCGACGAGA